This 402-nucleotide ribosomal RNA is filed under the name uncultured prokaryote. Its description in RNAcentral is "bacterial SSU rRNA". It matches the Rfam family "Bacterial small subunit ribosomal RNA", at positions 355 to 774 of the family's 1533-position model. The record is from RNAcentral.
UAGGGAAUAUUAGUAAUGGGCGAAAGCCUGAACUAGCAACACCGCGUGAACGAAGAAGGCCUUCGGGUCGUAAAGUUCUUUUACGUGGGAUGAGGAAGGACAGUACCACGAGAAUAAGUCUCGGCUAACUACGUGCCAGCAGCCGCGGUAAAACGUAGGAGACGAGCGUUAUCCGGACUUACUGGGCGUAAAGAGCGUGUAGGAGGCGCUACAAGUUGGAUGUAAAAGCUCCCGGCUUAACUGGGAGAGGUCGUUCAAGACUGUAGAGCUAGAGUAAGGCAGAGGUAGAUGGAACUCCGGGAGUAGUGGUGAAAUGCGUAGAUAUCCGGAAGAACACCAGAGGCGAAAGCGAUCUACUGGACCUUAACUGACACUGAGACGCGAAAGCCAGGGUAGCAAACG